CACAUGCAGUCGAGCGGAAACGAUCCUAGCUUGCUAGGAGGCGUCGAGCGGCGGACGGGUGAGUAAUGCAUAGGAAUCUGCCCGGUAGUGGGGGAUAACCUGGGGAAACCCAGGCUAAUACCGCAUACGCCCUACGGGGGAAAGCAGGGGAUCUUCGGACCUUGCGCUAUCGGAUGAGCCUAUGUCGGAUUAGCUAGUUGGUGAGGUAACGGCUCACCAAGGCUGCGAUCCGUAGCUGGUCUGAGAGGAUGAUCAGCCACAUCGGGACUGAGACACGGCCCGAACUCCUACGGGAGGCAGCAGUGGGGAAUAUUGGACAAUGGGCGAAAGCCUGAUCCAGCCAUGCCGCGUGUGUGAAGAAGGCCUUCGGGUUGUAAAGCACUUUCAGUGAGGAAGAAAGCCUUGAGGUUAAUACCCUCGAGGGAGGACAUCACUCACAGAAGAAGCACCGGCUAACUCCGUGCCAGCAGCCGCGGUAAUACGGAGGGUGCGAGCGUUAAUCGGAAUUACUGGGCGUAAAGCGCGCGUAGGCGGCUUGAUAAGCCGGUUGUGAAAGCCCCGGGCUCAACCUGGGAACGGCAUCCGGAACUGUCAGGCUAGAGUGCAGGAGAGGAAGGUAGAAUUCCCGGUGUAGCGGUGAAAUGCGUAGAGAUCGGGAGGAAUACCAGUGGCGAAGGCGGCCUUCUGGACUGACACUGACGCUGAGGUGCGAAAGCGUGGGUAGCAAACAGGAUUAGAUACCCUGGUAGUCCACGCCGUAAACGAUGUCGACUAGCCGUUGGGCUCCUUGAGAGCUUUGU
Molecule: ribosomal RNA, 800 nt
Filed under: Halomonas sp.
Lineage: Bacteria; Pseudomonadati; Pseudomonadota; Gammaproteobacteria; Oceanospirillales; Halomonadaceae
Description: bacterial SSU rRNA
Rfam family: Bacterial small subunit ribosomal RNA
Source: RNAcentral